This 497-nucleotide ribosomal RNA is filed under the name uncultured bacterium. Its description in RNAcentral is "partial 16S ribosomal RNA". It matches the Rfam family "Bacterial small subunit ribosomal RNA", at positions 28 to 507 of the family's 1533-position model. The record is from RNAcentral.
GACGAACGCUGGCGGCGUGCCUAAUACAUGCAAGUUGAGCGCUGAAGGUUGGUACUUGUACCAACUGGAUGAGCAGCGAACGGGUGAGUAACGCGUGGGGAAUCUGCCUUUGAGCGGGGGACAACAUUUGGAAACGAAUGCUAAUACCGCAUAAAAACUUUAAACACAAGUUUUAAGUUUGAAAGAUGCAAUUGCAUCACUCAAAGAUGAUCCCGCGUUGUAUUAGCUAGUUGGUGAGGUAAAGGCUCACCAAGGCGAUGAUACAUGGCCGACCUGAGAGGGUGAUCGGCCACAUUGGGACUGAGACACGGCCCAAACUCCUACGGGAGGCAGCAGUAGGGAAUCUUCGGCAAGGGACGAAAGUCUGACCGAGCAACGCCGCGUGAGUGAAGAAGGUUUUCGGAUCGUAAAACUCUGUUGGUAGAGAAGAACGUUGGUGAGAGUGGAAAGCUCAUCAAGUGACGGUAACUACCCAGAAAGGGACGGCUAACUACGUG